This 253-nucleotide ribosomal RNA is filed under the name uncultured bacterium. RNAcentral's name for it is "partial 16S ribosomal RNA". It matches the Rfam family "Bacterial small subunit ribosomal RNA", at positions 524 to 776 of the family's 1533-position model. The record is from RNAcentral.
UACGUAGGGUGCAAGCGUUAAUCGGAAUUACUGGGCGUAAAGCGUGCGCAGGCGGUUUUGUAAGUUUGUCGUGAAAGCCCCGGGCUCAACCUGGGAAUUGCGAUGAAGACUGCAAGGCUUGAAUCUGGCAGAGGGGGGUAGAAUUCCACGUGUAGCAGUGAAAUGCGUAGAGAUGUGGAGGAACACCGAUGGCGAAGGCAGCCCCCUGGGUAAAGAUUGACGCUCAUGCACGAAAGCGUGGGGAGCGAACAGG